This is a non-coding RNA of Asterophora parasitica, 102 nucleotides long. NCBI's taxonomy places the organism in Eukaryota, Fungi, Basidiomycota, Agaricomycetes, Agaricales, Lyophyllaceae. The record is from the annotation of a GenBank genome assembly.
GCCUCUUUGGCUCAGUUGGUUAGAGCGCUGGUCUCAUAGCAAUAUGACGCUGCAGUCAUAGCGGUAAUCCAGAGGUCAACAGUUCGAACCUGUUAAGGGGCA